Molecule: ribosomal RNA, 497 nt
Filed under: uncultured bacterium
Lineage: Bacteria
Description: partial 16S ribosomal RNA
Rfam family: Bacterial small subunit ribosomal RNA
Source: RNAcentral
GAUGAGCGCUGGCGGCGUGCCUAAUACAUGCAAGUCGAGCGAGCAGAUGAGGAGCUUGCUCCUCUGACGUUAGCGGCGGACGGGUGAGUAACACGUGGAUAACCUACCUAUAAGACUGGGAUAACUUCGGGAAACCGGAGCUAAUACCGGAUAAUAUAUUGAACCGCAUGGUUCAAUAGUGAAAGACGGUUUUGCUGUCACUUAUAGAUGGAUCCGCGCCGCAUUAGCUAGUUGGUAAGGUAACGGCUUACCAAGGCAACGAUGCGUAGCCGACCUGAGAGGGUGAUCGGCCACACUGGAACUGAGACCCGGUCCAGACUCCUACGGGAGGCAGCAGUAGGGAAUCUUCCGCAAUGGGCGAAAGCCUGACGGAGCAACGCCGCGUGAGUGAUGAAGGUCUUCGGAUCGUAAAACUCUGUUAUUAGGGAAGAACAAAUGUGUAAGUAACUAUGCACGUCUUGACGGUACCUAAUCAGAAAGCCACGGCUAACUACGUG